GUGGGGAAUUUUGGACAAUGGGCGAAAGCCUGAUCCAGCAAUGCCGCGUGUGUGAAGAAGGCCUUCGGGUUGUAAAGCACUUUUGUCCGGAAAGAAAUCUGUCUGGCUAAUACCCGGACGGGAUGACGGUACCGGAAGAAUAAGCACCGGCUAACUACGUGCCAGCAGCCGCGGUAAUACGUAGGGUGCGAGCGUUAAUCGGAAUUACUGGGCGUAAAGCGUGCGCAGGCGGUUUUGUAAGACCGAUGUGAAAUCCCCGGGCUUAACCUGGGAACUGCAUUGGUGACUGCAAGGCUAGAGUGCGUCAGAGGGGGGUGGAAUUCCGCGUGUAGCAGUGAAAUGCGUAGAGAUGCGGAGGAACACCGAUGGCGAAGGCAGCCCCCUGGGAUGACACUGACGCUCAUGCACGAAAGCGUGGGGAGCAAACAGGAUUAGAAACCCUUGUAGUCC
RNAcentral lists this ribosomal RNA (450 nucleotides) under uncultured bacterium. RNAcentral describes it as "partial 16S ribosomal RNA". It matches the Rfam family "Bacterial small subunit ribosomal RNA", at positions 354 to 796 of the family's 1533-position model. The record is from RNAcentral.